UAUAUAAUUUUCUUCUUGUCCUGUAUUCAAAAGUAUUAGAUAUUCUUUUUCAUUUAUUUUUCCUGUUAUGUAAUAUUGGUUUAAAUUACUUAUUGAGUUUGUUUCAUAACUUGUUCUUUUUGAUGAGCUUGAUGACUCUGGCUUUUCAUUAGCUAUUCUUUUCGUUGUACUUAUUCUAUCAUUUACUAUUUCUAAAUUUUCUUCUGUAUCUAUGUCUCUAUAGGUAUAAUCAUUAUAAUCUAUUGUUUUUACUAUUUGUUCGAAUGGGCUUUCUAUUUGUAUUUUGUUAAUCUUAUUUUUUCCUGUUAUUUUAUGUUUUGUUGUUAAUACAUAUAGGUUUUUACAUCUUGCUGUAAAUAUUUUACUUCCUGGGGUUAACUCUAUUCCUGAUAUUUUCCAAUAUAAUACUAAUGAUUUAUCUAUAUUCCUAUCUGUUACUGCUACUGAAUAAUUUGCACUUAUUAUAAAUUUAAAUUUUUGGUAUAUUAGAUUUCCUUUUACGGCAGUUAUUAUGCUUUUUUCUAUAGGUUUUAUAAUUCUAUCGUCUGCUAAAUAUAAUUCUAUUGGUGUAUCUAUUCCUUCUCUAAAACAUGCUUUUAUUAAUAUCUCUGUACCUCCAAGGUGUACAUAUUUUAUUGGAUCUCCUUUACUUUUUAUAUCAUUUAUUUCUUUAUUAAUUAUUCUUUUUGUUACUAGUGGUAUACUAGCUUUUCCUUUUGCAUAUCUGCAAUCUAUUACAUGUUCUUUUUGGCAUACUACAUAAUAUUCAUCUUUUUUCCUAGUAAAAAUAUUUUUUAUUGUUGGUAUUUUAAAUAUUUUGUCUACACUUAAAUCUAAUUCUUUUCCUUUUAUUUCAUCAAAUAUAUUACUGUCAAAUAUUAUUUUUUGUUCCGUUCCUUCAUCAUUUAAAUAUUCUUCCUUUGUUAUUAUUUUUAUAUCUUCUUCAGUCAUUUGAUUCAUCUAUUUCGCUAUCUAGUUCAUUAUCUGUUUCAUUUUCUGAAAUUUCAUAUAUACUAUCUUCACUUUCUAAUUCAUAAUCUAUAUAAUCUAUCUGCAUGUAUUCGGUAUUUUCUAUUUUUAUUUCUGAUAUUUGUUUAUUUUUUGGAUUUUUAGGUAAUUUACAAUCUCUAGCUAAAUGUCCUAACUUUCCACAAUUAUAACAAGUACAUUCUUUUAUAGAUUUCUUUUUUCUAUAUGGUCUUUUAUGUUUAUAAUUUUUUACAUAGUAUCUUUUUCUUGGUUUUUUAUAUUUAUAUUUUGAUUUUUUAUAUUUCUUAUAUUUCUUAUGUCUUUUUCUUUUCUUAUAAUAUCUUUCUUCGCAUCCAAAUUGGGGUGCUAUUUUAUUUUUGCAACAAGCUAAAUUUCUUAUUAAUGUUUUUUCCAUUUUUAAUUCUUCUCUAUAUUUUUCACAUAAGUUUCUAUACCAUUGUUGUAAAUAUUUUAUUCUUGCUCCUAACGUAUCUACUAUUUUUGCUUCUUCCCAACUUUUUAUUAUUUUCGAACUAAAUGGCUCGGGUAAUUUAUUAAAAUAUAAUUUUCUUAUUUCUUUACUUUCUUCUAUACUAUAUGCUCCUUUGUAAUAAUAUUCUUUAAAUGCGCAAGUAUAUUCAUCUAUAUAACACAUAUUACAUAUUGCUAAUUUUAACAUUAAAUUUCUAUUUGUAUCUUUUUCUUCAUUUUGUUCUUCUUCGAUUGUUGUCGUACUACCAAAUUCAUCUUUUAUAGCUGUUUCAUAUUUUUUUAAUAAUUCUAUAGGUGUUAGUUUAGUUGUUGUCGAUGAUGUUCCUUCUAUAGGUUUAUUAGUUCUUAAUACUUUUUUGCUAUUUUCGGUUAGAUUUGCAAACCAUAGUUUUACUGAUCCUAUUAGUGUUUUUUCUAUAUAUUCCGGUGCAUCUGUUAUAUUUAUAUUAUUAUCUAAUAAUUGUUUUGUCAUAUAUCCUAUCCAUAAUUGUAUUGUUUUUUCUGUAUCUAUUACACAGUCUAGAUCUAAAAAGUUAUAAUUUUUAUUCACUAUUUGUUUUGGUAUCCAUUUAUCAUAUUCAUUAUAUUUUUUAAACUUAUUCUUAUAAUAUAUAGGUUUUCUUAUUUCUGUUGUUUUAGGUAUUAUAUUUUCAUUUUCUUUUUUAUCAAGAGUAUUUAUUUCUGUGUGGGUAUUUUCUAAGUUUUCCUCAUAAAUUUUUUGUUCUUCAUUGAUUUCUAAAUUUUUUGUAUUUGUUAAUAUUUCUGUGUAUGUUUCACUAUCUUCGGACUCAUAAUUAUCUGUCUCUUCAAUAUCUAUAUUAUUUAUUUCUAAUUCUUCAUUUUUUAUUUCUAAUUUUUCCUUAAAUUGAUUUAUCUCAUUUAGUAAUUUCUGUUCUCUAUCUUUUUCUUCUUUUUCUUUUUGUCUUUGUUCAUACAGUUCUUUUAACAUUUGUAAUUCUUUUUCUAAUUCAGCAAUUCUACUAUUUUUGGUUUCUUCUAUUUUUCGUAUUUCUUCCGUAGUUUGUUGUUUUAUUUUUUCUAUUUCUUUUUUCCUAUCUAUCUCUUCAUUUUCUUUUUCUAUUCUUACCAUUGCUGUUAAUUUAUCUUCUAAUUUUAAUUCUUCUUUUUCUAACAUUAGAUAUAAAUGUUCACCUAUUUUCUUAUAUCUUCGUCCUAGAUUAGAAAAUACUAUUUUUAUUUUUGAUCCUUCGUAGUUUUCAUAUAUUUUUUCAUCUAUUAUAAAUUCUUCUUUAUUCAUUUUAUUGUGAAUAGGUCAUGUUGAUAUACAUAUUCUAAACUAUCUAUUUGUGAUUCUAAUUUUGAUAUUUCAUCUUUUUGUGUAUCUAUUGAAUUUUUACUAACUCCGGCAAAUAUAUUAUAAUGUAGUCUUUCUAUUCUUAUUUUUAAUUCUUUACGUUUUUCAGAGAUAAUUUGUCUUAAUUCUUUAUAUUGUUGUAUUUUAUUCAUUUUAAAUUAUAUUUAUAAUAUCUCGGUGGAUAUCUAAAUCUAAUUUUAUCAUAAUUAGGUGGUAUAUGUUUCAUUCUUCUAGAUUUUAAAUGUGUUAUUAAUUUUGAUUCAAUACUAGAUAUUAAUGUAAUUAAGUAGGCUAGUUUUUGUGGAUUUUCUUUUGUUUUAUUUAGACUUAUAUAUUCUGAAUAAUUACUAAUUAAAGAUUCUUUAAUUUUUCUAAAAGCUUCUCUAUUUUUAAAUGGUCUUCGCAUAAUUAAUUAAUUAUAAGUAAAUUGUUUUAACUCUAAAUCUAAUUUUGACUCUAACAUAAUUUUGACUCUAACUAUUACUUUUUUGUAUAUAUUGUUUUUCUAAUAAUUCAUCUAUGUGCAUUUUAAAUUCUUUUAAAUCAUCAAAAUUAUAUGUUAAUGGUUUUUGUGUUAUUAUGCUAUUCUUAUCUAUUAAUUCAAUUUUUAUAGUAGUUUUGUGUUUUUCCCAUCCUUUUAAUGGAUCUUCACUAUAUAAUUGUUCUAAUUUUUUCUGAAUUAUUUCUAUUUUAUUUAUUGAAAAUAUAGUUAUUUCUGUUUUAUUUAUCGAAAAUACUACUAGUUCUACUGUAUCUUCAGUAUUUUUUAUAUUUUCUAACUUUUGUGUAAUUUUUUCACUUCCUUUUAUCCAAUCAGUUUUCUUUCUUAUUUUAUUAUUAACUCUUUUUGCUCUUACUUUUUGUUUGCAUGGUGUUGUAAACCACCAGUCUGUUUUGGUUAUUAUAUGUGGGUAUAAUUUAUCUAAAAAUGGCAUUCCUAAAAGUAUAUCUUUUGAUGUUAAUUCAUAGUUAUAAAUUUCUUCUAUUGUUAAUAUCUUAUCCCAUACUUGUAUUUUUACAUUCCUAGCUUUAUAAGUAAUUAAGCUUCCUUCAUUAUUAAAUCCUUUAACUAUUAUUGGUGUUUUUAGUUUAUCCCAUUUGCUUUCUGGUAAGCAAUUAUAUCUACAUAAAUUAGCUUCUGCUCCUGUAUCUAUCAUAGGCGUAUAAUAUCUACUGUAAUAUCCUUCUACUACUAUCUUCAUUAAUACAUGUAUCUUCAUUUCAUGUUAAGGCUCUUUUUAAGAAUAACUUUUCUUGGUUAUAUGUUAAGGUUAAUUGUGUAUGUUCUAUAUUAUAUGGUUUUACUUGUUCUAACCAUUUUAUUCCUAAUAUUAUAUCUGCUUUUUGCAUUUCUUCUUUUACUUCGAAUUCUAUUUUUAUUUUUCUAACUCCUAAUAUUAUUUCUUUUUCUGCUAGAUUUUUAUUAUUUAUUAAACUUCUUGGUAAGUCUGGGCAUAUAUUAUUGUCGGUUUUUAUUUCUUCAUUUUUUACUAGAUAUUUUGCUAUAUGAUUUUCUUCUUGUCCUGUAUUCAAAAGUAUUAAAUAUUCUUUUUCAUUUAUUUUUCCUGUUAUGUAAUAUUGGUUUAAAUUACUUAUUGAAUUUGUUUCAUAACUUGUUCUUUUUGAUGAGCUUGAUGAUUCUGGUUUUUCAUUAGCUAUUCUUUUUGUUGUACUUAUUCUAUCAUUUACUAUUUCUAAAUUUUCUUCUGUAUCUAUGUCUCUAUAGGUAUAAUCAUUAUAAUCUAUUGUUUUUACUAUUUGUUCGAAUGGGCUUUCUAUUUGUAUUUUGUUAAUCUUAUUUUUUCCUGUUAUUUUAUGUUUUGUUGUUAAUACAUAUAGAUUUUUACAUCUUGCUGUAAAUAUUUUACUUCCUGGGGUUAACUCUAUUCCUGAUAUUUUCCAAUAUAAUACUAGUGAUUUAUCUAUAUUCCUAUCUGUUACUGCUACUGAAUAAUUUGCACUUAUUAUAAAUUUAAAGUUGCCACUUCAGUUAA
RNAcentral lists this long non-coding RNA (4770 nucleotides) under Capsicum annuum. RNAcentral describes it as "long non-coding RNA (CANN_LNC011799)". Lineage: Eukaryota; Viridiplantae; Streptophyta; Magnoliopsida; Solanales; Solanaceae. The record is from RNAcentral.